Molecule: ribosomal RNA, 238 nt
Filed under: uncultured bacterium
Lineage: Bacteria
Description: partial small subunit ribosomal RNA
Rfam family: Bacterial small subunit ribosomal RNA
Source: RNAcentral
AGAACGAACGCUGGCGGCAGGCUUAACACAUGCAAGUCGAACGCCCUCGCAAGGGGGAGUGGCAGACGGGUGAGUAACACGUGGGAACAUACCCUUUGGUUCGGAACAACGCCGGGAAACUGGCGCUAAUACCGGAUACGCCCGAGAGGGGAAAGGCUUGACCGCCGAAGGAUUGGCCCGCGUUCGAUUAGCUUGUUGGUGAGGUAACGGCUCACCAAGGCGACGAUCGAUAGCUGGU